CUCAAAUUUGAAAUCUGGCUCUUUCAGAGUCCGAGUUGUAAUUUGAAGAAGGUAUCUUUGGGUCUGGCUCUUGUCUAUGUUUCUUGGAACAGAACGUCACAGAGGGUGAGAAUCCCGUGCGAUGAGAUGAUCCAGGCCUAUGUAAAGUUCCUUCGAAGAGUCGAGUUGUUUGGGAAUGCAGCUCUAAGUGGGUGGUAAAUUCCAUCUAAAGCUAAAUAUUGGCGAGAGACCGAUAGCGAACAAGUACAGUGAUGGAAAGAUGAAAAGAACUUUGAAAAGAGAGUGAAAAAGUACGUGAAAUUGUUGAAAGGGAAGGGCUUGAGAUCAGACUUGGUAUUUUGUAUGUUACUUCUUCGGGGGUGGCCUCUACAGUUUAUCGGGCCAGCAUCAGUUUGGGCGGUAGGAGAAUUGCGUUGGAAUGUGGCACCGCUUCGGUUGUGUGUUAUAGCCUUCGUCGAUACUGCCAACCUAAACUGACGGACUGCGGUUUAUACCUAGGAUGUUGGCAU
RNAcentral lists this ribosomal RNA (509 nucleotides) under Candida tropicalis. RNAcentral's name for it is "partial large subunit ribosomal RNA". It matches the Rfam family "Eukaryotic large subunit ribosomal RNA", at positions 108 to 632 of the family's 3401-position model. The record is from RNAcentral. Lineage: Eukaryota; Fungi; Ascomycota; Pichiomycetes; Serinales; Debaryomycetaceae.